RNAcentral lists this ribosomal RNA (301 nucleotides) under uncultured bacterium. RNAcentral describes it as "partial 16S ribosomal RNA". It matches the Rfam family "Bacterial small subunit ribosomal RNA", at positions 509 to 807 of the family's 1533-position model. The record is from RNAcentral.
CAGUAGCCGCGGUAAUACGGAGGAUCCAAGCGUUAUCCGGAAUCAUUGGGUUUAAAGGGUCCGUAGGCGGUCUUGUAAGUCAGUGGUGAAAGCCCAUCGCUCAACGGUGGAACGGCCAUUGAUACUGCAGGACUUGAAUUAUUGGGAAGUAACUAGAAUAUGUAGUGUAGCGGUGAAAUGCUUAGAGAUUACAUGGUAUACCAAUUGCGAAGGCAGGUUACUACCAAUUGAUUGACGCUGAUGGACGAAAGCGUGGGUAGCGAACAGGAUUAGAUACCCCAGUAGUCCCUGUCUCUUAUAC